AUCAUUUUAGAGCUGUGUUUAUGCAGUAGCUGAAUAUGGUUAUCAGUCGUUACUUAGCCUAAGUCGUUAUAAAGCUGCUCGACUGACGCAAAACCGAAAGCAGUGGAAAGCACACAGUACUGCCUGAAAUAACUCAUUAUUCCCUAAACAGUGUAUAUGUGUCACUCACUAAGUAGUUCUUAAUAAACGAGUGAAUGAAUGAUUUCGGAAUUGGCUUUAGACGGAAGCAGGUGGUAUUUUCAAUGUAAUCAGGAGGGGACGUUCUUGUUCCAGAAAGCAUUUGAUUGGACGCCACUUCACGAUUUUGCUUGUCAUCUGUUGAGCCGGAAAAACCCAAGUAGGAUGGAAAUUGAGGAGGUAGAUGAAGAGAUAUCAGUCAACCCCUACGAGACAGCCUUUGAUCCCUAUUCCUCCGCCCCAUCCCAAGAUCCAGAAGGUAGAGGAAAUCUCAAGAAGAUUCAUCUCAAGGAAAUCUCAGAUUCGGCCUGCCUUUUUCUGUCCAGGCAUGAAGAUGCAUCUCUCUGGUGGCUGUCCUGAUGAAGCUUGUGUGUGUGAGAAGCUUUGGUUGAGCGUAAUGUCCAGAGCAGCUUAAAAAUACACAAAAGUCUUUUUCUAUCAAUGUUCCAGUUUUCUGACUGGAUUCACCAUCCCAGCCUAGGAGAGCAUUCUGUUCAAGACUUGCUAAAGAAACAGCCUUUGACCUCUGACCUGUGCUUAAAGGUGGACAGAGAUUAAGAGGUUUGCAUGCUCAGUCAGUAGAGCUUGAGGAAUAUUUUUUGUUUAGAGUUACAGCAUUUGAGCUCUUAAAAUCAAACUCUCACACGGACUGAAAAGCCUCCAGAGUUCUUGAGUCUAAAAGUGGCUGUAACUCGUCACUAUGUAGUGAAACUUCACACCAGAGUCGAAACAUCUGCGAUACCUCACUGUUGUUUCAGGGCGACUGCAUAAGAUGGUUAUGAAAUAGUCUGAUACUUUAAAAUGGACGCUUGGUGCCUUUAAAUAAUUCAGGAAUGUGAAUCAGUGCCGCUCGACAGAAUUUGAUUAUUUUUAUCUGAAAUGUUUGUUUCAGUUCAUGUGUAGCAGUCAAACAAAUUGUUUUUCUAACAUGAGUUAAAAUGUAAAUGUUGGAUUUUUUUCUGAGUGCACAAAUAAAAAGCUUAUUUCCUUAAUGAAUUGUUCGUUUCAUUCAGAAAUAUGUUACAAUAUUACACCAGAUGUAUGUUUCACAAAUUAAGUUUGAGAGGGUUUGUAUAUUUUGUGCUUCAUUGUUUACUGAAAGAUGUUCAUUAUAUGCUGCAUAUUUAACACUAUUUUAUCUCUGACGACUGAUAAAUGUCACCAUGUCCUAAACUGUGCUUUCAAUAAAAGUAACAUGAUCAUAAAUGGUGUCUGAAAGAAAUAGACAUUUCAGCUGUUUUCAUAUCCAUAUGAUCUCCUGAUCAGUAACAGAUGUCAAUGAUAUGAACGUCAAAUAUAUAAUGUGAAUGUUAAUAAAGUCUCUGAACUCAUGGGAUCUUCUAA
Cyprinus carpio carpio is the source of this 1521-nucleotide long non-coding RNA. The record is from Ensembl. NCBI's taxonomy places the organism in Eukaryota, Metazoa, Chordata, Actinopteri, Cypriniformes, Cyprinidae.